Non-coding RNA from Gossypium hirsutum (cotton), 145 nucleotides. The record is from Rfam. NCBI's taxonomy places the organism in Eukaryota, Viridiplantae, Streptophyta, Magnoliopsida, Malvales, Malvaceae.
UAUUAAAAGUUUCAUCCAUUUUUGUUGUUAAAAACUAACAUGAAUGACGAAAUAAUUAGGUAGUUGCAUGUGACGUGUCACAUGUACCUCAUGUUUAUUACAUGGACUAAUUUUUAACAAUAACAAUGGAUAAUUUUUUUUAACA